This 555-nucleotide ribosomal RNA is filed under the name Alternaria sp. S4. RNAcentral describes it as "eukaryotic LSU rRNA". The stretch from base 191 to 344 matches the Rfam family "5.8S ribosomal RNA". Lineage: Eukaryota; Fungi; Ascomycota; Dothideomycetes; Pleosporales; Pleosporaceae. The record is from RNAcentral.
CCUUAGGGACUGCGGAGGGACAUUACACAAAUAUGAAGGCGGGCUGGAACCUCUCGGGGUUACAGCCUUGCUGAAUUAUUCACCCUUGUCUUUUGCGUACUUCUUGUUUCCUUGGUGGGUUCGCCCACCACUAGGACAAACAUAAACCUUUUGUAAUUGCAAUCAGCGUCAGUAACAAAUUAAUAAUUACAACUUUCAACAACGGAUCUCUUGGUUCUGGCAUCGAUGAAGAACGCAGCGAAAUGCGAUAAGUAGUGUGAAUUGCAGAAUUCAGUGAAUCAUCGAAUCUUUGAACGCACAUUGCGCCCUUUGGUAUUCCAAAGGGCAUGCCUGUUCGAGCGUCAUUUGUACCCUCAAGCUUUGCUUGGUGUUGGGCGUCUUGUCUCUAGCUUUGCUGGAGACUCGCCUUAAAGUAAUUGGCAGCCGGCCUACUGGUUUCGGAGCGCAGCACAAGUCGCACUCUCUAUCAGCAAAGGUCUAGCAUCCAUUAAGCCUUUUUUUCAACUUUUGACCUCGGAUCAGGUAGGGAUACCCGCUGAACUUAAGCAUAUCAUA